Long non-coding RNA from Rosa chinensis, 1495 nucleotides. RefSeq lists it as uncharacterized. The transcript has 3 exons. NCBI's taxonomy places the organism in Eukaryota, Viridiplantae, Streptophyta, Magnoliopsida, Rosales, Rosaceae. The record is from RefSeq and is a predicted model, not a curated record.
CUAUUCUCUUCCUCUCUCCUCUCUUGGCCGCGUCCCUCUCUCUCUCCCCGUCCCCUAUCCUUUUCUUCUUCUUCCCUCUGCAAUCACCGGAGAACACCAUCUCUGGCCACCAUACAACGUCACUGCCACCCCCAAUCGACACAGCACCUAAACCCAACCAAAGCCCAAGCCUCACCAUCGACAUGCACUGCCGGCAGCCUCCAUAAGCGACAACCCAAGGGUGCGAUGCCAAUGUUCCUCGACCCUCGCCGGUUUCGGGUGAUUUCCUUGCCCUUUCGCCACCGUCAUUCUACUCAGCAAGCAAAGCGAAGCAAAACCCAGAAACUCCUCUUUGCCGCUGACGCCUGACGAUACCGUUCAAGCAUCACCAGAGGUCUCAACUCUGCAUGCCUUCGAUCUCCAAUUUCCAACUCGAAUUGAGCUCAACGACUUCCCUAAUCGGAAUCAGAGCCUUGUCAACCACCAAAACCCCAUAGUUUCAAUCUCUGGUUCCAACCAGAGACGCCGCACCCGCCACCACUGGUGCAUGGACCACCGUAGCUCCGCCUUUCACGGUUGCCGGAUUUUCAGGACUUCUCGGUUAGGUAAUUUAGUGAUUUCUCUUUAGCCGGAGCUUCUGGUUUGAGUAGAGUGAACCUUAAUAACAUGUUGUUUAAUUUGGAGUAUAAGGUUUGUGGAAUCUGCGUUUUUGAAGAUUUUGGAGAAGAAGGAAUUGUUGGGUCAGUUUAGAUUUGAAUCGGAAAUGGACUCGAGCGUGUGCACGUGAAAUUGGAAGAAGUAUCGAAAGUUGGAAACGAAGCUAAGUUUGGGCGAGCACUCCAAUUGCAGGUAGGGUGAGUUGUCUCUUCCUUGUUAGAGACUUUUCUAUAUGUGGAAUGCUCUAGUAUGAUAGUAUGUUGCCUGCAAAUACGUUUUUGGUUGUUCAUCAGUCGACGCCUCGUGAUAUCUAUGUUUGCGUAACUGAUAAUUGCUGAUUGCGAAAACCGAGGCUAGACUUGUAUGUUGAGAUACUGUACCCAUUGUAUGUUUGUACUUGUGACCUGAAAGUGAAUAGGACCUAAACACGUUAAUUCCUAGGCAUCCCACGGUGUUGAUAACCGUGAACCUCCGGAGGUGGCUGUGCUUCUAUGUACGUCAAGGAAAAGGUAAGUACUGACGGUGAACCAGCCAUAGGACACUUAGGGCUAGGAAAUGGACAUUUUCACUAUUUGUAGUCAGAAGCACUACAGAGUAGUUGGUUGGUUCUCGAAGGAUGACGAAUCGAGCCAGUCACCAAUUGUUUUAGAGUAGCCAGCAGUGUGCAGGUUUCGAGCAUGUGGUCGAGAGCGUACAGAGGAGGCACAUGGCCCGGCUUGGCGCAUUCCUCUUUGACUUUAUUAAAAGAAGGUUUUGGUCCCUUAUCGGAUUUUGAAGUAACUUAUUUAUUUACUUUUUAUUUAUUUAUUUGUUUUCUACUAGCUUAUUUACAAAAUUUCGGGAGACCCGUAACCCUAGG